RNAcentral lists this ribosomal RNA (502 nucleotides) under uncultured Glomeromycotina. Its description in RNAcentral is "partial small subunit ribosomal RNA". It matches the Rfam family "Eukaryotic small subunit ribosomal RNA", at positions 591 to 1092 of the family's 1831-position model. The record is from RNAcentral. Lineage: Eukaryota; Fungi; Glomeromycota.
CCAAUCGCGUAUAUUAAAGUUGUUGCAGUUAAAAAGCUCGUAGUUGAACUUCGGGGUCUACCCAUUGGUCAGGCUUAAUUGUCUGUACUGGUGAGAUGGAUCUCUACCUUCUGAGGAACUUUCAUGCCAUUUAUUUGGUGUGGUUGGAAAUCAGGACUGUUACUUUGAAAAAAUUAGAGUGUUUAAAGCAGACUAUCGUCUGAAUACAUUAGCAUGGAAUAAUGAAAUAGGACGGACUGAUUCUAUUUCGUUGGUUUCUAGGAUCACCGUAAUGAUUAAUAGGGAUAGUUGGGGGCAUUAGUAUUCAAUUGUCAGAGGUGAAAUUCUUGGAUUUAUUGAAGACUAACUACUGCGAAAGCAUUUGCCAAGGAUGUUUUCAUUAAUCAAGAACGAAAGUUAGGGGAUCGAAGACGAUCAGAUACCGUCGUAGUCUUAACCAUAAACUAUGCCGACUAGGGAUCGGACGAAGUUAAUUUUAUAAUGACGCGUUCGGCACCUUACG